AGAGUUUGAUUAUGGCUCAGGAUGAACGCUGGCGGCGUGCCUAACACAUGCAAGUCGAACGGGGUUAUUUAGGAAAUUUCCUUCGGGGAAUGGAAUCUUUAACCUAGUGGCGGACGGGUGAGUAACGCGUGAGCAAUCUGCCUUCGGAUGGGGGAUAACAGCCGGAAACGGCUGCUAAUACCGCAUAACACAUGGGAUCCGCAUGUUUCCCAUGUCAAAGAUUUAUCGUCCGGAGAUGAGCUCGCGUCUGAUUAGCUGGUUGGCGGGGUAACGGCCCACCAAGGCGACGAUCAGUAGCCGGACUGAGAGGUUGAACGGCCACAUUGGGACUGAGACACGGCCCAGACUCCUACGGGAGGCAGCAGUGGGGAAUAUUGCGCAAUGGGGGCAACCCUGACGCAGCAACGCCGCGUGAUUGAAGAAGGCCUUCGGGUUGUAAAGAUCUUUAAUCGGGGACGAAUUUUGACGGUACCCGAAGAAUAAGCUCCGGCUAACUACGUGCCAGCAGCCGCGGUAAUACGUAGGGAGCAAGCGUUAUCCGGAUUUACUGGGUGUAAAGGGCGUGUAGGCGGGCAUGCAAGCCAGAAGUGAAAUCUGGGGGCUUAACCCCCAAACUGCUUUUGGAACUGCGUGUCUUGAGUGAUGG
This 646-nucleotide ribosomal RNA is filed under the name uncultured bacterium. RNAcentral describes it as "bacterial SSU rRNA". It matches the Rfam family "Bacterial small subunit ribosomal RNA", at positions 8 to 652 of the family's 1533-position model. The record is from RNAcentral.